This 460-nucleotide ribosomal RNA is filed under the name uncultured bacterium. RNAcentral's name for it is "partial 16S ribosomal RNA". It matches the Rfam family "Bacterial small subunit ribosomal RNA", at positions 338 to 795 of the family's 1533-position model. The record is from RNAcentral.
CCUACGGGGGGCAGCAGUGAGGAAUAUUGGUCAAUGGCCGGAAGGCUGAACCAGCCAUGCCGCGUGAAGGUCAGUGCCCUAUGGGCGUUAAACUUCUUUUGUGCGGGAGCAAUAAUGGUCACGUGUGGCCAGACGAGAGUACCGUACGAAUAAGCAUCGGCUAACUCCGUGCCAGCAGCCGCGGUAAUACGGGGGAUGCAAGCGUUAUCCGGAUUUAUUGGGUUUAAAGGGUGCGUAGGCUGUGAGGUAAGUCAGCGGUGAAAUGCCCCCGCUCAACGGGGUGAAGUGCCAUUGAUAUUGCCUGGCUGGAAUGCGGAUGCCGUGGGAGGAAUGUGUGGUGUAGCGGUGAAAUGCAUAGAUAUCACACAGAACACCGAUUGCGAAGGCAUCUCACGAAUCCGCGAUUGACGCUGAUGCACGAAAGCGUGGGUAUCAAACAGGAUUAGAUACCCUUGUAGUC